Ipomoea nil (Japanese morning glory) is the source of this 449-nucleotide long non-coding RNA. RefSeq lists it as uncharacterized. The record is from RefSeq and is a predicted model, not a curated record. The transcript is spliced from 3 exons. Lineage: Eukaryota; Viridiplantae; Streptophyta; Magnoliopsida; Solanales; Convolvulaceae.
AACUUCACACAAAUUAUACAGUCUGCAAUGCUGGUAACAUGCAGUCUCCCAUUAAUAUUGAUGACUCCACUGUUAAGGUUACCUCCAAAUUUGGGAGUUGAUUCGACGUUACAAAUCGUCUGAGGCUAUAAUCAUCAACAAAGGCCAUGCUCUUCAGAUCCAGUGGACAGGUGAUGCCGGAAAGAUUAUCAUUAACGGUACCGAUUACUUCAUGUUACAAUGCCACUGGCAUACUCCCUCUGAGAACACUGUGAACGGCAAAAAGGUUGAUAUGGAGAUUCAUCUGGUUCAUAGGAGUGCAAAAGAUGAAUUUGCUGCUGUCUCCAUCUUAUACAAAAUAGGAAAACCUGAUAUAAGUUCCUUGGACAAUUGCUGAACAGCAUCAGGCAAGUUGAUCGCAAUGGUAAAGCUUUAGGCGCCCUUAAUCCAGGAAAGAUCACAUAUGAGGG